This 2751-nucleotide long non-coding RNA is filed under the name Mus musculus (house mouse). RNAcentral describes it as "expressed sequence R74862, transcript variant 1 (R74862)". Lineage: Eukaryota; Metazoa; Chordata; Mammalia; Rodentia; Muridae. The record is from RNAcentral.
GGGUGGCCAAGAACUGGGGCACCGUGCGCAGCAGCACGCGGCCCGGGCUGCCCUGCCUUCUAGGCCUGGAGCUCGAGCCCCCAGGGUGGCAAUACCAAGCUGGAGGGUAAGCAAGGGUGGAGUAAUAGUGGGGUUGAGGUCUCCGAGGCAAGUACGGAGCGUGCCCCCACCACUUCGAGGCCGCCUAUCCAGGGGCGGUGGCUAGGAUGAGCUCAUGGGGGCGGGGCGCCAAGAUCCCGCCCUUCUCGACCCCCCUCACUGCUCGCGAUGCAGGAUGGUCCCCAAAACAACAUUCAGGAGGGUGCGAGUACCCCCUUCAUAGCUGAGGGCUCUUGAUUACCUGGCUCUAGCCCGCAGACUCUUGCACCAGUUCCCAGCACUCAGAGGGGACAGGCCAGCGAUCCCCUGAUUUCCCGGCCCCAGAAGCCCCUCGAGCCGAGGCCCAGAAGCUCAGCCCUCGGCCUCAACCCGCUGGCGAGGGGCGCCAGGACCCCGAUCGGCGCACGGAGCCCACAGGUGGCGCCGCAACUUCGCGGUUGCGCUGCGCCUUCUCAGCAGGGCCUAGCGCGCUGCCCAGCCUGGCUACCGUGGGGUGCGCCCUGUCCCCAGUGGCUGCUCACCCAGAAGACGAAAUUGAAGACGAAGAGCAGGAUUUCAACAUAGACCAAAGACCAGCAUCUCUUCAGGAAUCCUCUAGGACUCCAGCACUAGAUGGUACUGCUGAGACACCCAGUCUUGGGGACUGAACAACUGCCAGAUUCUUGGCCUUCCCACUGGAAUACUGCUAUUGUUGGAAUACCAGGCUACAGCCGUCAAAGAUCUGAUCUGUCCGUGGUUAAAGAUGUGAGCUCGCCAUGUCUUCCACUUGUUGCUAUGCCUUCCUGCGAUGAUGGACUCGCAUCCCUCUGGAACGAUGUUUCCAGAGCGGUCUAACCUGGGCAGGAGUGAGCACUUUCCAGCAAGUGGCUGAGUACUAAAAGGUGGCCCAGUCUAAAGAAAAAGCAGUGUUGGCUGCCUGCCUGCCUUCCCUGGGUCUGGAGCCAGUGUGUCCAUCUGCUGCCACUGUCUUCUUUUGACGUCAGACUGAAGUUUCUUCAGCCUUCUCUAACAAGAACGAAACACCAGUGACUCUUCAGGAAUUUUCCAGGCCUUCAGCACCAGACUGAGACUGCUGAAGCGAUCAGCUUUUUGGACUAAACAGCCUGUUUAGUGUUGUGGGCCCUGUUUCUGAACACCACAGUCAGAUUAAGUUUGUAUCCUUUUAAUCCUCACAACGAAGAUCAAACUUGGAGACAACAUUAAACUUCAAUUCAACUGCAUCCAAAUCAUAUAAUUACUAAAGGACUAAUCUUAAAGCCAAAGGCAGAAGAGCACGGGGAGGCUGCCCUGGGAUUCACUGAAGUUGCCAUUCAUACAGCUAAUGAUCAGGGGCACUCUGUGGAAUGUGACUUCUUAGGAAUCAUUUAAGAUCGCAUUGGGAGAUUGCAUUGCAAAAUUACAUGGUGUCCUGUGGCAUAUAAUAUGUGUAGCCAAUGUGUGGUGAUGCUUUCCCCGCAAACCAGAAUCCCCCAGCUGGAAGCCUCAGGGGUAGCUGUGGGGGCACCACUUCUUUCAAUAAGAGCGAAUGAACCAUUCUAGGAGUUAUGUAUGCUUCACGCCUUCAAAGACAUUUUCCUGUGUUGGAACUCCUAGUAGCCAACAAAGGAAGAUCCUGGUCAGAGAACAGAAUGUGCAGCAGAGCUGGACACCCGGUGGCACCUGGCUGCUUUGGGCUCCUCCAUGCUGGGUUAAGAGACCCACAAGAGUGCUGGCUGAGUCGUGCUAAAAUGAAGAACUAAGGGUGCUGCUGAUGCUCAUUCUAGGCAGGUUUGGGUAGUCUGGGCUCUGUUGGCCCUCCACAGCAGUAAUAAAAGAAAUAGCAACAAGAGUCAAGAAGAGAUUCUCCCAGGAAUGAAAAACUGGAAAACAAGACAAACCAUGAAUGGUUAAAGCCAUGCAGACUGGCUCGGUAAUGAGCUGCAAGGAUGUGCAUUCUCUUACAGCAUCCAGUGGGUGUUUUUUGUUUUGUUUUGUUUGUGCUGUAUUGUGUAUAUUUUACAAUCUCUAUCUCACUUUUCUUCUUUUUUCCCCUCCUGUCCCACCACCAUUGUAUAUGGGAUCCUAUAUUCCUUUCUCCUUCCCUCCUUUGCACUCCCUUUCUGUGGUUUUGUUUUGAUGUUGUUGUUUCUUUGUUCAUUCAUUUGUUUUUGAAGUGGAGUCUUUCUGUUUAGUCUAGCCUGGCCUCAAAAUCACAAUCCUCUUGCCUCUGCCUCUUUGAGUUUGAAUUACACACACACACACACACACACACACACACACACACACACACACACAAACACACACCACCUUGUUCUGAGUGUUUGCUAAUUUUUAUCAACUUUAUACAAACCUAGACAUAUUUGGGAAGAGGGAAGGAAUUUCAGCCGAGGAGUUGCUUGCAUCAGAUUGUUCUGUAGGCAAGUCUGUGAGGGCAUUUUCUUGAUUAGUGAUGACUCGGGGAGGGCUCAGCCUCCUGUGGGUGGAGCUCCCUCUGGGCUGUAUAAGGAAGGAGGCUGUGCAAACCAUGAGGUACCAACUAGUCAGCAGUGUGCCUAUGUGGUUUCUGUUUGAGUCUCUGCCUCCAGGUUCCUGUUCUGCUUGAAUUCCUGCAUUGGCUUUCAUUAAUGAUGUAUUGUUACCUGGAAGUAUAAGUCAAAUAAAUCCUAUCCUCCC